Molecule: RNase P RNA, 398 nt
Filed under: Patescibacteria group bacterium
Lineage: Bacteria
Description: RNase P RNA component class A
Rfam family: Bacterial RNase P class A
About the family: Ribonuclease P (RNase P) is a ubiquitous endoribonuclease, found in archaea, bacteria and eukarya as well as chloroplasts and mitochondria. Its best characterised activity is the generation of mature 5'-ends of tRNAs by cleaving the 5'-leader elements of precursor-tRNAs. Cellular RNase Ps are ribonucleoproteins.
Source: RNAcentral
CGACCGGGCUAAGCGAUCGCCCUUUGAGAAAUCGAGGGAGGAAAGUCCGAACACGGCCCCGCUCUCGGGCGGGGAGAAUGGUAGCGGGUAACACCCGCACGCUGCGAGGCGCGAGGUGCGAGCAGAGACGUCUUGAGCGAAAGCAAGAGACGUCUCCGGGAACGAAAGGACCCGGAGACGAGUUUCCGAGGCGACUCGGGAGGUGAAACGGCCAAAUCCUUACCGCCGUGCAAGGCCGCGCUCGACCAAUUUUUCUUCACGGUACUCCGUGUUAGAAAAAUGGAAGUGCCCUUGUGGUACGUCAAUUGGAAGAGAGUGCCGCUCGAGGUUCUGAGCAAUCAGAAUCCCAGACAAAUGAUCGCUCACGACAGAAUUCGGCUUAUCGGCCCGGUCUAUAA